This 75-nucleotide transfer RNA is filed under the name Polaromonas sp. Its description in RNAcentral is "tRNA-Ile". It matches the Rfam family "tRNA". From Rfam's summary of the family: Transfer RNA (tRNA) molecules are approximately 80 nucleotides in length. Lineage: Bacteria; Pseudomonadati; Pseudomonadota; Betaproteobacteria; Burkholderiales; Comamonadaceae. The record is from RNAcentral.
GCCUGGGUAGCUCAGUGGGAGAGCUCCGUCUUGAUAAGGCGGCGGUCGAUGGUUCGAUCCCAUCUUCAGGCACCA